Molecule: long non-coding RNA, 822 nt
Filed under: Volvox carteri
Lineage: Eukaryota; Viridiplantae; Chlorophyta; Chlorophyceae; Chlamydomonadales; Volvocaceae
Description: long non-coding RNA (VCAR_LNC003118)
Source: RNAcentral
CGGGUGUCGCUGCGAACAUAUCUGCCAACUUCACGAAGUAUGAGACGGAGCAGCUCUUAAAGGUGCUGGGGGCGUUCCUGGAAUUCGGGUUCUAUGACCUGGCAGCAUAUGACGACAUCGCGGACUCCAUCACGUACUGCAACCACUACCUGGCACCCAUUAAGGCUUCGCCUGUAGAGCUGGCCAACGCGUUCGCUGCAUAUCAGAAGUUCGAGCACGAGCGCGGUGAUCUUUUCCUUGCUCUGGCAAGGUAUGGGGAUGUCAUGUCGAAAGAUGAGAACCAGUGGUAAAUGCACUCAGGCGCUGGGGUCUGUUUGGUACUUCGUAUGCUGUUAACGAAUACUAGAGAGGAGCUGGCCAUCAUAUAGGCAGUCAACCAGUUCACAAAGUAUAGUCGUGGCAAGCAUUUCUGCAGCCUAUGAUGCUGCUAUGUGCAGUUUCCGUCUUGGGGGUGUCUCUUUUGCCUGUCAAUGCGUGGCGGCUCCGUGGGUCAGAUCUGAGGCGGUAGACCAAAGGAAUUUUGGUUCCGCCAGCCGCGCCCCUGUGGUAUGGACGGCAUGACCGUCUUGCGCGUUUACCUUUCAGUGAUAAACCUUGCCACGUUUCCGUAGGAUGAAACCUAAUCGUACACGCCAGUCAGUAUGGACAUGGCUACUAGCAACUGGGGACGCCACCAGGAUUGGAUGCUGUCGGUUAUCCUAGAGCACCGGUAACUGUCGACCCGCCUUGUUGGUCACUGGGCUGUGAGGACACGGCAAGGGAAAGGGAGACGUAAGCGCUGCGGAUCAUUCAUCCGUUCAUGCUUUGGUUAUUUGAUCCGUG